ACGCGGGGCCAGGGUGCCGAACGCCCCACAAGUCCUGCAGCGCGGUGCGGAGUCGGCGGAACCGGAGCGAACUGAAGGUGUUCCCAGCGAAUGUCCUGAGACCCGUCCAGGACUUUCUGAGGACUCAGCCCAGGAUGACAGCCUCUCAGAUCGCUGGCUCUGAAGGACUGCUCCGAAGAGGUUAUUUUAAAAGAUGAAGUAUUUCACAACACGGACAAUAUGUGAACAUUUUUUUUUCUUUUAAAGAAAACUUUGUUUUUUUGCUGACACUUUUUGAACUUGGCUGCUCAAGGGGAAACAAACAAGUUUAAAAAGCUGAAGUCUUCGGUGUACAGAUUACAGCUAAAAACUUGUACACUUUAAGCCUGGGGAACAUUUUUUUCAUGCUUAAGGAUUUCAGUCAUCUGAUACAACCGUGCUACAGUUGUGCAACAUUUAGGGUUCUUCAAAGCUGGAUGCAUUGCAGCUCUUUUCCAGACUGGAUUUCAGGGGUGCCAGCGUCAUCCCUUCAGGCUCAGCAAUCGGAUUGUUAAUUCCUGGAUGGUCACUCUUGUCACAGGUAGAAGAUGAAGGUCUGUAAAAAGUGGAUUAAAAAAGAAAUAAUGCUGCUACUUUUCCAAUGUGAAAAAGUCGUUAAAGAAAGCUGGCUUGAAAAGCGGCACAGUUUUCCAUGAACUGAACAAUAUUUUCAAAGCCGUUGAAAAACUAUUAGGUGCAGAUGGUUUCUACUUGGGGUUGGCAAACUGGGGCCAGAGACAAAAUAUUUGCUGCUUAGUAGGGCUUGCACGGUCUUUGUUAACCUGAUUUGACUCCCUCACUGUAGUGGGGGACAGCCAGGCAAGACGUUCACAAAUGAGAAUGUUGUGUUGUGACGUAACCUCAUUUAUGAACAAUGAAACUGAAUUUUAUGUAAUUUUCAGGGUCACAAAAUGUUAUUCUUUCCUUUGAUUUUUCUUCAAUCAUUUAAACAUGUAAGACUAAGAAUUCUUCGUGCGUAAAGCAGGCAGAGGGCGGGGCUUUACUUCUUUGCUCAAGCCCUGGGUUCCCUCCUCAUGGACCUAAAUGCCCUGACCUCCCCGGUUCUUUCUUGUACAUCCACCUGCCUACUUGUCAUGUCCUGUAAUAGGCAACUCUUCCAAAGGAGAACCCCCGCUUCUGCCCCGUCACCAGUUCCCGCCCCAGUCUUCUCCGUCUCGGCAAACACCAUCUUUUCUCAUAGUCGUGCAGAUCAGAGACUUAGAAUUCACCCUCUCCCUCACCCUCCACAGCUAAUCCAAUAGCAAAUUCUGUCGUCUCGGUUUUCAAAAUAUAUUCCAACCCAUCUAGUUUCCCCCGCCUCCAAUGCUACCGUUGACCUAAAUAAAAGGGUAAAAUAAGGCAGGCUCAAAAUUGUCAAAAGCUGAAUUUAUUUGAAACUAGCAGAGAAAUUACAUUUAAUAACUGUAGCAAGCCACAGGCGAGUCUGCUGAGGCUUUGGGUGUAGGCAGUAUUUACCGGCAGGGAAUGGAAAGAAGGGAGAGUUCAGUUAGAGUCUAUUAACAUCAAAAACAAACAGAGGCCAGCUUUGGAAAUUUCCCGAGCAGACAAAACCAGUCCAGUCAUACACACAAGGCUCAAUUCAGCUUAUUUUGCAAGACCAGCCCUACCUGGGUCACUUCUUGUUCACGCCCCUGGAAACCAGAAGCAAAAUUUCCCGAGGUUAAUAUGAGGCAAUCCCUGAUCAACUCCCUAUCAUUUAGGAAAAUGUCCAUAUUCUUAGUUUUCUAUAAAUCAGGCAUUUACAGGAAAUCAGAUCCCAGUCCUUAAGUUCUGUUUUCCUAAGAGCAUUCACAUGAGAUUUUCCAUUUUAUAUCCUCCAGUUCCAUUUCACGUCGAAGUUCUUUCACGCUACCUCCCACCAUCAUUUUUAGCUUCGAUUAUGCACUGGCUUCUGAGCUGGUUCCCCCGCUUCUGCUCUUGCGUAUCUUUGAUACCAUGUCCACGCGACUUUCCAUUGAACUCAGAAUGAAAUCCAAAAUGAGACCUGUGAGACCUGUGGGGCCUGGCCUCCGCCUGACUCUGCAAACUUACGUCUUGUAUGUUUCCUGUUAACAAGUUUGUUCCAGAUACCACGUUUCCUCCUUGUUGCUCACGUGAGCCACACUUGUUCAGUCUGUUUUUCCAGAAUAUUUUCUGUUCGCUUCGCCAGGGGUAACACGCUUCCAGCAGACCCUCUCCUCGCUUGCUCCCCACUUAUGUCUGUAGGUCCAGAAGUCUGCAGUGGUCACAGCAGCGCCUCUCCCAGCCAUUCCCACAUCAGUUUCUGUAUCCUUACUCUGCUGUAUUUUUUCAUGUCACAUGUCUCUACCUGACAUGAUAGUAAAUGUUUGUUUUUGUACAUAUAUGAUAUGUACUUGUUACUACAAUGUAUGCUCUGUAAGGGCAGACAGUUUUAUAGCUGUAUUUCUAUCAACUAAAACAGUGCUAAAAUGGGGAGGGGAUUGGGGGGAUGAGAGAAAUGGGUAAGGGGGACUAAGGGGUACAGUUGCAAAAUAAAGGAGUCACGGGUAUCAAAUGUACGGUGUGGGCAACAGACUCAGUAACUACAGGAUAUCUCUGGAUGGGGACCAGAUCAUAACGAGACUUAUCAUGGUGGUCACUGUAAAGUGUACACAACUAUCAAAUCGCCAUGCUGUGCACCAGGAGCUAACACAGUGUUGCAGGCCAAUUAUACCUGAAAGCAAACAAACAAAGUACUAGAAGAAGAUACCAGAUUUGUCGUUACCAGAGGCAGGGGAUGGGGAAGAGGGUCAAAUGGUGGUCAAAAGGCACAAACUUCUAGUCGUUAAGGUAAGUAAGUACUACGGAUAUAAUGUACAACAUGAUAAAAUUAAUUAUUAACCCUGCUGUACAUUAUAUACGAAAAUUGUUAAGAGAGCAAAUCUUAAGAGUUCUCAUCACAAGGAAAAACAAUUCUUUUCCUCUCAUUUUGUAUCUGUUUGAAAAGAUGGAUGUUCAGUAAUCACUCCAUGAUGAACGUAAGUCAAAUCAUUAUGCUGUACUCCUUAAACACAUACAGUGCUGUGUGUCAACUGUAUCUCAAUGAAAUUGGGAGAAAAAAUACAUACAAAAUAAGAUGGUGCUGACACAUAGUAUUUAGUUCUAUAUUUUUGUUGAACGAAUGAAUGAAUAAAUGAGAAUCACCAAGUA
Long non-coding RNA from Camelus dromedarius (Arabian camel), 3189 nucleotides. RefSeq lists it as uncharacterized. The transcript is spliced from 3 exons. The record is from RefSeq and is a predicted model, not a curated record. NCBI's taxonomy places the organism in Eukaryota, Metazoa, Chordata, Mammalia, Artiodactyla, Camelidae.